GAGGGUAUAGCUCAGUGGUAGAGCACAUGCUUAACAUGCACAAGGUUCUGGGUUCAAUCCCUAGUACUUCCA
RNAcentral lists this transfer RNA (72 nucleotides) under Camelus bactrianus (Bactrian camel). It matches the Rfam family "tRNA". Rfam says of the family: Transfer RNA (tRNA) molecules are approximately 80 nucleotides in length. Their secondary structure includes four short double-helical elements and three loops (D, anti-codon, and T loops). Lineage: Eukaryota; Metazoa; Chordata; Mammalia; Artiodactyla; Camelidae. RNAcentral also lists the same sequence under 2 other names. The record is from Rfam by way of RNAcentral.